CCUACGGGAGGCAGCAGUGAGGAAUAUUGGUCAAUGGGCGGAAGCCUGAACCAGCCAAGUAGCGUGCAGGAUGACGGCCCUACGGGUUGUAAACUGCUUUUAUACGGGAAUAACGAGCCUUACGUGUAGGGCUUUGCAUGUACCGUAUGAAUAAGGACCGACUAAUUCCGUGCCAGCGGCCGCGGUAAUACGGAAGGUCCGGGCGUUACCCGGUUUGAUAGGGUUUAAAGGGAGCGUAGGCCGCAUGUCAAGCGUGCUGUGAAAUGUCCGGGCUCAACCCGGGCCUGGCAGCGCGGACUGGCGUGCUUGAGUCCGCGGAAAGCAGGCGGAAUUCGUCGUGUAGCGGUGAAAUGCUUAGAUAUGACGAAGAACCCCGAUUGCGAAGGCAGCUUGCUGCAGCGGAACUGACGCUGAUGCUCGAAAGCGCGGGUAUCGAACAGGAUUAGAUACCCGGGUAGUC
RNAcentral lists this ribosomal RNA (460 nucleotides) under uncultured bacterium. RNAcentral describes it as "partial 16S ribosomal RNA". It matches the Rfam family "Bacterial small subunit ribosomal RNA", at positions 338 to 795 of the family's 1533-position model. The record is from RNAcentral.